UCAAGUAGUUCCUUCCUUGAAUCUC
This 25-nucleotide non-coding RNA is filed under the name Rattus norvegicus (Norway rat). The record is from RNAcentral. Lineage: Eukaryota; Metazoa; Chordata; Mammalia; Rodentia; Muridae.